RNA transcript from Nymphaea colorata (pocket water lily), 3721 nucleotides. It is a transcript of the gene named laccase-14-like, with no coding region annotated. The transcript has 8 exons. Lineage: Eukaryota; Viridiplantae; Streptophyta; Magnoliopsida; Nymphaeales; Nymphaeaceae. The record is from RefSeq and is a predicted model, not a curated record.
UCCAAAAGCUACAUUCAUCCAGCAGCUAAAUUCCAUAAACGAUUGUGUCUAUAUUAAGGCUUCCCUUGCCAUCAGGCAUUUCAAAGACAAAGGCGCCGACGAUGGCUAUGGAGCGGCAACCGGCACUGCUGCGACUGCAAGUCCUCUUGCUUUUUCUUUCCUUCUUGCUUUUCCACCAGGCGGUUGCCGAAGUUCACUACCACGAGUGGGUUGUGGCUCCAACUUCAUAUACAAGGCUCUGUCGCAGCAACGACAUCCUGACGAUCAAUGGGCAGUUACCAGGGCCGACCUUAUACGUUCACAGGGGUGACACUGUCAUCAUCAACUCCUAUAACCAUGCCAACUACUCCGUCACCAUUCACUGGCAUGGAUUGAAGCAGCCUAGGAACCCAUGGUCGGACGGGACGGAGUUUGUAACCAUGUGUGGUGUUCCACCGGGAAAGAAUUUCACCUACACUCUUCUCUUCACAACUGAGGAAGGCACCAUUUGGUAUCAUGCUCACAGUGAAUGGACUCGCGCCACCGUUUAUGGUGCCAUUGUCGUUUACCCUAAGAUGGGAGCCACUUACCCUUUCCCAAAGCCAGACAAUGAAUACGUGGUUGUUAUAGGUGAAUGGUGGAACAGUGAUAUAAUGGACGUGUUUGUGGAAGGGGUGACGAGCGGGAAGGAUUUCAACGUAUCAAAAGGAUAUACCAUAAAUGGGCAACCGGGUGAUCUGUAUGAAUGCUCACAAUCAGGGACAAGCCGGUUUGUGGUUGAGUAUGGCAAGACGUAUCUGUUCCGCGUUGUCAACGCAGUAAUGAGCUUCGGGAUGUUCAUCGGCAUAGCGAAUCACACACUCAGAGUUGUUGGUCGAGACGGAGCCUACCUUAAGCCGUUUGAGAGAGAAUUUGUCCUGCUAAACGUAGGGCAGACAAUAGAUAUCCUUGUGACGGCAAAUCAAUCACAAGGUCUCUAUUAUAUGGCCACCGAUACCUACAAAAUUAUAAAGUCAACUCAUGAUGCCAAUAAAACAACAGCCAUAGUAGAGUACAGGGGCUACAACUCCUCGCUAGCCUCAUCACCACCCUUACCAUAUCUUCCAUCCAACACCGACACAGCUGCUGUGUAUGAAUUCAGCGAGUGGUUGAGAAGCCUGGCAUCGGAAGAGCACCCCGUUGAUGUUCCCAUGGAGAUCGACACCAGGCUAGUCAUCACCAUGUCCUUGAACGAAGAACAGUGCAACACCAGUGCCUGCUCCGAGGGCUAUAAACUGGCUGCCAGUAUGAACAACAUCUCUUUCCUCAACCCCCGGAUGGACAUACUCUCCGCCUACUACGAAAGCAUCAAGAACGUGUACACGACCGACUUUCCGGCGUUCCCGCCGUAUAUGUUCAAUUUCACGGCGGACACGUAUUCGAAUGAUCUGUUAGUACCGGUGUAUGGGACGAGGGCGUUGGUGGUGAAGUAUAAUGCGUCGGUGGAGCUGGUUCUGCAGAGCACGAUGUUGCUGUCGGGGGAUUAUCAUCCAACCCAUCUGCAUGGGUAUCACUUCUGUGCGGUUGGACAAGGCUUCGGCAACUUUGAUCCCGUGAAUGAUCCGCACAAUUUCAACUUGGUCGAUCCUCCAAAGCUGAACACGAUCGACGUCCCCUUCGGCGGAUGGGCUGCUCUCCGUUUCAGAGCGGAUAACCCCGGUGUGUGGUUUCUUCACUGCCACUUGGAACGCCAUUUUACUUGGGGGAUGACGACGGUGUUAAUAGUGACCGACGGCCCGAAUCCUGAAACAAGUAUGCUGCCUCCCCCAACCGGCAUGCCCAACUGUUCAGACCGAACUGUCCACGUUACUCGAGAUCACAAGAGCAACGAGCCGCUGGAAGACGGCCUGAUGCCGGCCGUCAACGUCAAUGAGGACGGUGUAGAUGUGUCUGCGUGAUAGCUUUAAUGGUACUUGUAUGAAGCACAGGUACGCCUAAGUAUCCAAUCAAAUACUUGGUCAGAGUUUGGGCAUUCAUGACAGUGACUCACUCAAAUUUUACGGUGGAGUAUGGUGAGUAAGUGUCAAAAGGAAGGGCCAUGGAGGGAUCCACGUUCCUCCGGAAUUCCUAAUUAGGUCACGUUUGAUAGCCAUGGAUCUCAGUUUCGCAGUGAUCUAAGAUCUGUAGUUUUCAAGCCCGACCUCCUCUCCUAUCCAAUUUCAAAUCCAUGCUUUUUACAUUAAAGUGUAGAUCUGAAAUCUAAAUUAGGGGUGGAUGCUGAAAUCGACAAUUUGAUUUCAGCUAUCAUGGAGUUGAGAUUCUCCUUGGAUCCGAGAUCCAUGAGAAAUCAAAAGCAACCUAAGAGUUGAAAGCAGUGGGCUUCUACUCUUCAUGAGUCUUGCUUGCCUUUAUAACCUUUAUGUCUGAUUAAUUUACGAGACAUUAUGACUUCAGUAGACACUAGUGGUUGUGAUUUGCAUCUACCAUUCAAACAUGAGAAAAGUCAUCCAUAGACAGAUUCUUGACAAAUGGCUCCUCCAAUAUUGUGGAAAGAUAGCAAAGUAUUUGGAUUUGUCUCCCAAGUGGUUGAAAUCAUGAUGGGUCAAUUUAGAAUUGACUUCCUCUGUAGUUGCGUAAAACUGAUUGGUUCUGGUUUUCAAAAAGUAGCAUUGUGGAUCAAUUCUGAAAUGAAAAUGCUGGAAUCAAGAUUCCAUCGACCGUGCUCUGCUCCCUCGUGCCCCACCUUUUCCCAACCCUCACCCACGAUGCCCUAACACGCCUUUUUCCUCCAUCCAUGCCGUUAGCUAUCUUCUCUCUUUGUCCUUUAUCCCCACCAGCAAUGAAGUGCAGCUGAUCGGGAGUUUUCAACUCUUCAAACAGCAGGUUGCAGCAGAGAGAGGCUGCUCCAGAGAGGCCAGCUCCACCCAAUACAACGUAUGGAAGAUGGAGGAAGCAACCAGAGAGGCCAGUUCCACCCAAUAUGACGUAUGGAAGAUAGAGGAAGAAGAAGAAGGGACGAGAGUCGAAGAGAGACGAAGGUCGAACAAAAGGGGAGAAGAAGAGGCAGGCGAGCGGGCGAGCUUUCUUAAAAACUUAAAAAUAAAAAAAAAACCUUAAAAAUUGGACCAAAGUAGUCUGGUGCACAUUUGACCGCACCCGACUCAUGUCAAACAGGAGUAGGGUGCGAAUAAAAAAAAGACGAUUUUAACCGGGUGCGCCUGACCGCACCCGACUCUUGUUUGACUUAUUUGGGUGCGCACCGAAAGCGCACCAGUACCCGCACCCACACCCGCAUCGCAUCGACACGGGUGCGAGGCCAAACGUGGCGCACCCUGGUAUCAUAGCAUACAACGUGCUAGCCAAAAAGGAAAGUAGUAAAAUUGAUACCAGAAUAGAAAGGAAGAAGAAUGACACACAAAGUUUUUUUACAUGGUUCAGUGACAAAGUUCUCUUACGUCCAUGGGUGCAUUCGGCUUUUUUUUUUUAAUAUCCCAAAAAGAUUAGAGUACCAGAAAAAAUUAAUUGUGCCCUUUAAACAUGGGAAUUAGGAGUUUUCUCGAGCAGGCCUUUUAUUUGGUAGGUAAUAUCGAUGAAGAUACCAUGAAGGCUAUGUACUUAGAAGUAGAGAGCAAAUUGAAAAAAUGACCCUAAAUCUUUGUAUACCGACUCUACACCAUAAAAUGUAAACUUACAUAAACACCUAUACAAAAUUUUUCGCAUUAUGAAAGCCUAUUAAGUAUAGAUCAGACCCCACGGACCACGC